UAUUAGUUCGGAUCGGAAAUUUCUACCAUGCUUUUCAAUGAGUUCGAAACGUAAAAUUUGAGACAUUUUGAAAAAAUAUUUCGGACAAAAAUCAAAAUUUCCCUCACACCCAUUCGUCAAUGAUUAAUUUCGUCCACAAGGAAUAUUUUCGGCACAAAAUCAGUACUUCGCCACUGAUUAGAAGAAAUCAACAACCUUCGUUGCCUAGAAACCGCCUCUGAUGACGCGCGUUUCCGGAAACACGUAAACCUGAUCGACCAAUCGCUUGUCGACCCUUUGAAUACAACACAUGUACCAUGGCAACGGGUAAAAACAAACACAUCAACUUUGAAAUUCGUUGUCAAUAAAGCAGUAUUUAUUGCAAUUGAAGUUUUAAAUUAACCUAUUUUUACACGUUCGUUUUGGAAAAAGUGUCUUAUUUGUUAAAAUUGCGUGUCGAAGGAUUGAAGGACGCGAAAAUGUGACUUUAAACUAGAAAAUUCGCGAUUGUAAAGGAAAUGUUGGCGAUUUUUGCGACUUAAAUCGUUGGCAGGAUUUUAGUGUGGAAAGUUUUCAAAUUGAGACCCGCUGUAUUGGAAAACAAGAGCAUUCUACAGGGCGGCCAAGGUCUUUCACUUAAGACACAGAUGGAAUUUUGGAAAUUUUUACAGAAAUGUAGCGAUUGAAAAAUCUGAAAAGUUACAUAAGUUUUUUGCUUGCCCAAGGGGCCUGUCCGUCCACAAAACAGAUAGUCUCAGUGGCCUCGUUUUGGCUGUACGCAUACGAUUGCUAAAAAUAAAAUCUCAACUCGACUAAAACCGGCAAUUGUUAUGUCAUUGCUGAGUUCCUUGUCUGAAUCAAGAUUAAGAACAUGCAAGGCUACAAUUGUCUACCAAUAUUACCGAUAGAUUGUGGAUCAAUCCGGCUUUAAUUGGCUGUUCAUUCAACUCGAUUAGUGAUCAUUUAAUUGUCGAUGACUAAGAACGGGGACAACACUCUGUAUAGAUGGCCAUGCUAUAGAAUCAGAUUUAUUUUCCACCUGCAACCGCAGCGAUUUUGAAACAAACCAGGCAUUUUUAUGGGCGCUAUUUCGCAUGAACUAACAGGGCCAUUAGCCAGAACUAGACCAGUCUGCUGAUCAAUGGCGACAAAAAUUCA
Molecule: long non-coding RNA, 1137 nt
Organism: Dendroctonus ponderosae (mountain pine beetle)
Lineage: Eukaryota; Metazoa; Arthropoda; Insecta; Coleoptera; Curculionidae
Exons: 2
Source: RefSeq, a predicted model, not a curated record